Molecule: ribosomal RNA, 410 nt
Filed under: uncultured Actinomycetes bacterium
Lineage: Bacteria; Bacillati; Actinomycetota; Actinomycetes
Description: bacterial SSU rRNA
Rfam family: Bacterial small subunit ribosomal RNA
Source: RNAcentral
GUUGGACGCAACUGGUGUGCUUGUUACAUGCUGGUCCUACGAAGGGAAGACGUACGUAGUCCAGCUUGAUAUUUGUUAAGGGGAGGCUUAAACUUCAGGGAACUGGGCUAGGCUCUGGGAUAAGCACUGGAAACGGUGUCUAAUACCGGAUACGAGCUUCAGCCGCAUGGCUAGGAGCUGGAAAGAAUUUCGGUCUGGGAUGGACUCGCGGCCUAUCAGCUAGUUGGUGAGGUAAUGGCUCACCAAGGCGACGACGGGUAGCCGGCCUGAGAGGGUGACCGGCCACACUGGGACUGAGACACGGCCCAGACUCCUACGGGAGGCAGCAGUGGGGAAUAUUGCACAAUGGGCGCAAGCCUGAUGCAGCAACGCCGCGUGAGGGACGACGGCCUUCGGGUUGUAAACCUCUU